AGCGAACGCUGGCGGCAGGCCUAACACAUGCAAGUCGAGCGGCCGUAGCAAUACGGCAGCGGCAGACGGGAUAGUAACACGUGGGAACGCGCCCUUCGGUUCGGAAUAACUCAGGGAAACUUGAGCUAAUACCGGAUACGCCCUUACGGGAGAGAUUAUUGCCGAAGGAACGGCCCGCGUCGGAUUAGCUAGUUGGUGAGGUAAUGGCUCACCAAGGCGACG
Molecule: ribosomal RNA, 222 nt
Filed under: uncultured bacterium
Lineage: Bacteria
Description: partial 16S ribosomal RNA
Rfam family: Bacterial small subunit ribosomal RNA
Source: RNAcentral